UAAGGAAUAUUGGUCAAUGGACGCAAGUCUGAACCAGCCAUGCCGCGUGAAGGAUGAAGGUCCUCUGGAUUGUAAACUUCUUUUAUCUGGGACGAAAACGGGAUUUUUAUCUCAAUUGACGGUACCAGAGGAAUAAGCACCGGCUAACUCCGUGCCAGCAGCCGCGGUAAUACGGAGGGUGCGAGCGUUAUCCGGAUUUACUGGGUUUAAAGGGUGCGUAGGUGGGCUUAUAAGUCAGUGGUGAAAUCCCCGAGCUUAACUUGGAAACUGCCGUUGAUACUAUAGGUCUUGAAUUAUCUGGAGGUCAGCGGAAUAUGGCAUGUAGCGGUGAAAUGCUUAGAUAUGACAUGGAACACCAAUUGCGAAGGCAGCUUACUACAUAUAAAUUGACGCUGAGGCACGAAAGCGUGGGGAUCAAACA
RNAcentral lists this ribosomal RNA (421 nucleotides) under uncultured bacterium. RNAcentral's name for it is "bacterial SSU rRNA". It matches the Rfam family "Bacterial small subunit ribosomal RNA", at positions 355 to 774 of the family's 1533-position model. The record is from RNAcentral.